This 2934-nucleotide long non-coding RNA is filed under the name Triticum aestivum (bread wheat). RNAcentral describes it as "long non-coding RNA (TAES_LNC005741)". The record is from RNAcentral. Lineage: Eukaryota; Viridiplantae; Streptophyta; Magnoliopsida; Poales; Poaceae.
UAAUCUGUUUGAAACAGAAGUGCGAAGUGCGAUGGUGUUCUGUAAACAAGGAAAAUAUUUUUGUUGGUGGUUAUGAUCAAUGGUUUAGUCCCUUCUAGCUAAAUGUUUUAGAGUACUUGAAAUCCUUCUGCCGCCGUGACAUCAGAGAUUGUGAAACAUUUGAUACCCAUUUGCAGUUUCAUUUCUGAAUGCAUGUUGAAUCUACUUAUGUUAAUUUGGUUUCACCUUGCAUUCGUGGUUAUUGAUCUAUAACAAUUUUUCUGUUCCUCACUCUCAUUUCCUUGCUGCCCUGCUCCUUGGAUCAGAAAAGUACACUUGAGAAACUCCAUAUUAGAUACAGAGUUCCAUUCACUCAGGCUCCGUUCGGUGCAAAGGAAUUUUAAAGGAAAACUUGCAGGAAAAAAAAUGAAGGAAAGUUCUCCCAAACUGCGUUCGGUGUGCAGGAAUGAGCUCCUCAAGAUCCAAAGGGAAGUUGCUGUAGCCUCCAGUUUUACAGGAAAGAAAACAUCGGGCGGAAGCACGAGGCAAAGUACAGGAAAUCUUAGCUGGACCUGCAUGCACCACCAUUGCCUUGCUUUGUGUGACCCCACCACUGCCAGAUGGACGCAUCAACGAGUGGAUGAGAAAAUAGACCGACCAUGCUUUGUACUAGUGGGACCUACAGAUACCUUUGCCUUCCUUUGCUUUACCGAACACAUCUUCUCAGCUUUCCUACAGACUUCUAAUCUAGAUGAAAAAAUCUAGACGUUCCUCUGUUUUUCAGUUUCCCACAGUUUUCUUAACCUUUGCAGCGAACGGAGCCUCAAUCCCCGCAUUCUAAUGAGAUAGGCAAAACGUUUGGGCUUCUUUGAUUCAAAGGAUUUUCAAAGGAAUUUUAAAGGAUUCUAAUCCUUAGGAUUUUUUCCUAUGUGGGUUGUUUGAUUCGUAGGAUUGUAAACCGUAGGAAUUUUUCCAUAGGAUUCAUUUGCACUAGAUUUCAUAGGAAAUUUACCAUCCACUCACAAGAUGACAUGCCAAUCCAAUCCCACGUUUUUCCUAUUCAUGCAGUUGGAAAAUCCUACGAAUCAAAGAGUCCCUUAAUAAACUGGAGACGAACAUUUGGGGCCUUUGGAUUCCAGGAAAGAUAAAGUACUUUGCGUGGAAAAUUCUUCCUGGAGUGCUUCCUUGUUUUGGGGUUCUAUAACUGGGCGCCAUAUCCUGGAUGUUCUAUAGCAAUUGAGGAUGGUAUGUUCUUGGCGGCUAACAUGGGGUGCAACAGUAUAGAGAUCGAGUCUGGCUGUAGUUUUGCAGUGAACUCUGUGCAACUGAUGGACGAGUACUUGGGCCCGAAUGUUACAGUCAUAAUAGAGUGCAACCAAAUGGCGAUGGAGCUCCGGAGAUCUACUUAUAUGCACCGUUGUCGCGAUGCUAAUCAAGUUGCUGAUGAGUUCGCGAAACACUCUUUUAGAUUUAUAUCUUCCAGCCUUUGGGAUUCUUAUUAUACUGUAUUACUGAAUUUGUUUCUCAUCAUCUUGUAAACGGUAUGACGAUAAUAUGAGAAAUAAAGUCUCUUGCCGCAAAAAAAAAAAACUGGAGUUUGUUCUAUUUGAUUCCAAGGACACCCAUAUGCUACUUGUAGAGUGCAUGUUGUAGUUGUUGAGGCAUUGGGUCAAAGAUACAUAGUACUUCGUUUUAAUCUACUUGUUUGCCAUUUGGACACCACUUUUUUACCCCUCCAAUUGGGAUUUUUUUUAUUUGGAAGGAAUUCAAAUGCAAUCUCUUUAUCCCAACGUAAUUAGUUUACAAAAAUGUGUGCGCUUGCAUGGGCUCUACAAUAGAUUAAUCUUUGCAUGAUCAGCUGAUUUUAUCAUCUUAGCUGGCCAUCUGUGGAAUUUCUCCAGGGAAAACGGUUAAAUUGUUGAUCUUAUGCUGUGCAAAGAUACUUGUGUGAUGUUUUGUCCUCCCAAGGCUUAUUUGUGAUGUGAUUCCUGCUCUUCAUGCAAAAUGAUUGUUUUAAGACUCAGAACACUGAUUUUGUAUUUUUUUUCCAAAAAAAAAAUCAUCUGGAAAGUUGUUUUUUCAAUCAAGGCAAGGUAAUCGCUGGUUGAUCUUCAAAUUAGCAUUACCCUGCCUGUUUAUUUCUUCCGCCAUUUGCUAGGGAUGCAGGCGGACAGUGUAUAAUUAGACACAAGGUGUCACGCCCGCAAGUGUAUAAUUAGAACUGCACAAUUAUUAAAGCAACAGCCUGUCGCGGACAAUGUAGAUGCUAUCUGCUUGCAUCCCUUCCGCCUUUACUAGUUUGUGAAAUCCCACUUGUCCUUUGCUUAUCAACUUGUGAAUUAUGGCAGGAAGUGGAUGGAAUAUGACCAGAGGACGCUUAGCUUGCAAUAGCUUGAACUGUGAUUAGAAUUUAGAACAUACUCCUACUUUAUUCUAGAAGUUGAAAGAAAUAACUCUGAUGGAUAUGAAGUCGUACAUGAGAAAGUUCUAAUCUGCACUACACACUUGGAAUUACUCCCUUCGUCUCAAUUGUCUCAUGGUAAUGUUUGGCCAAGUUUAUAAAAAAACCAACAACCACAAUACCAAAUUAAUCUCUACUGUUAACGUAAUCAACAACAAUCAAAUAAAUCACCAACAGCAGGAAAUCACUUGCAAGCGAACAAUAAAAUCAACUCACAUAGUUGCAUGUACAAAAUCUCAAUCAUAUCAUAUCUUUCUUUACCUUCGCCUCCUCACAACAUAUCUCUAUCUCAACUGAACCAAAAAUUUCCUACGUUGAACCACCAGAAUAAAGUUGCUUCCAUUGCAAUACAUGAGUAUUUAGCUAGUAUUAUUGAUUAGACAGUUAAAAUAUUUUUAUUGCAACACACGAGUAUUUAGCUAUCAGUAGCUCUCAUUGAGAUGAAGAUGUACAUGUGGAAGUUGCAUUAACUUAUAUCCAACUUAAAAAAAAAA